GCCAGACGUGGUGCAUGCCUGUAAUCCCAGCACUUGGGAGGCUGAGGUAGGAGGAUCGUUGCCAGUUCGAGGCCGGCCUGGGCUGCAAAGUGAGCUCAAGGCCAGCCUGAACUGCAGAGCGAGACCCUGUCACAAAAAGGCCAAAAAUAAAUAAAAUGGAGACAGAGUCUCGCUCUGCAGUUCAUGCUGGCCUUGAGCUCACUUUGUAGCCCAGGCCGGCCUCAAACUCAUAACGAUCCUCCUGCAUCU
This 249-nucleotide small RNA is filed under the name Chinchilla lanigera (long-tailed chinchilla). RNAcentral describes it as "Metazoan signal recognition particle RNA (ENSCLAG00000021692.1)". The record is from RNAcentral. Lineage: Eukaryota; Metazoa; Chordata; Mammalia; Rodentia; Chinchillidae.